Molecule: ribosomal RNA, 281 nt
Filed under: Segatella copri DSM 18205
Lineage: Bacteria; Pseudomonadati; Bacteroidota; Bacteroidia; Bacteroidales; Prevotellaceae
Description: Prevotella copri DSM 18205 partial 16S ribosomal RNA
Rfam family: Bacterial small subunit ribosomal RNA
Source: RNAcentral
UACGGAAGGUCCGGGCGUUAUCCGGAUUUAUUGGGUUUAAAGGGAGCGUAGGCCGGAGAUUAAGCGUGUUGUGAAAUGUAGACGCUCAACGUCUGCACUGCAGCGCGAACUGGUUUCCUUGAGUACGCACAAAGUGGGCGGAAUUCGUGGUGUAGCGGUGAAAUGCUUAGAUAUCACGAAGAACUCCGAUUGCGAAGGCAGCUCACUGGAGCGCAACUGACGCUGAAGCUCGAAAGUGCGGGUAUCGAACAGGAUUAGAUACCCAGUCCGGCUGACUGACU